Molecule: ribosomal RNA, 549 nt
Filed under: uncultured bacterium
Lineage: Bacteria
Description: bacterial SSU rRNA
Rfam family: Bacterial small subunit ribosomal RNA
Source: RNAcentral
AGGGAAUCUUCGGCAAUGGACGGAAGUCUGACCGAGCAACGCCGCGUGAGUGAAGAAGGUUUUCGGAUCGUAAAGCUCUGUUGUAAGAGAAGAACGAGUGUGAGAGUGGAAAGUUCACACUGUGACGGUAUCUUACCAGAAAGGGACGGCUAACUACGUGCCAGCAGCCGCGGUAAUACGUAGGUCCCGAGCGUUGUCCGGAUUUAUUGGGCGUAAAGCGAGCGCAGGCGGUUUGAUAAGUCUGAAGUUAAAGGCUGUGGCUCAACCAUAGUUCGCUUUGGAAACUGUCAAACUUGAGUGCAGAAGGGGAGAGUGGAAUUCCAUGUGUAGCGGUGAAAUGCGUAGAUAUAUGGAGGAACACCGGUGGCGAAAGCGGCUCUCUGGUCUGUAACUGACGCUGAGGCUCGAAAGCGUGGGGAGCGAACAGGAUUAGAUACCCCGGUAGUCCUGGCCGUAAACGAUGGGUACUAGGUGUAGGAGGUAUCGACCCCUUCUGUGCCGGAGUUAACGCAAUAAGUACCCCGCCUGGGGAGUACGACCGCAAGGUUG